CUGUGGCUGUGGUGUAGCCCGACCAAGACCACCCGAUUUAUCCUGAAGAUGUAUCCGCUCGCAAUGCUGCUUGCAGGAGGCAAGGGAGGAAACCUACGUCGCCGUAUAUGAGCAGCACCACCCUGCAAUUAACGUACAGGUGCGUGUCAACCUCACUUAACUAGUCACGUGACAAACGAGCGAGUGAGUAGCCCAUCUGGCUACAUUGAGCUCUCACAGCAUAAACACUGUAAACUCACUCAGUCAUUUCCUUAUUUCCUUGAUGACAUUAUCAUUGUUUAUAAAUAGGAGUGACCUGGUGAUGUAAUGGAAGUUUCAGGGCGGCGUUUGCAUGCUUUCAUACUAUCACUCUCACUAUCACAGGAAGACAGUCUCAGUCUCAUCAAUGACUUUAUUUGGAUUGUUAUUGGCACAGACACGGACUCUCAAAUCCUGCUGUUAUCUCAGAGGGCUGUGCUAUCCUACCCUGGAUCACCACCAAGUCAUUGGUUCAGACUGGAAGCUGCAGAGACAUGAAAGAUGAUACAAAGCUGAACUUGGAAAAAAUUUGCGUCUUUUAAAGAAGGAAAAGACAUUGGGGCAUUUAUUUAUUUUAAAUACUUAUUUAUGAAUUAUUUGAAAAUAAAACCUAACACUAAGCUUUUCUUGGUAGUGUGCAGAACAAACCUGAUGACACUAAAUCCCAGAAAGCUUAAAGUCAACCAAUCACAUCCAAGCUUUGAGGGCCCCCCCCCCACCAAGGCUGUGAGCAAGGUGGCAGAAAAAAACAAAGCUGGCUGAAUCCAAAACACAGCGAAAAACCUGCCUGGUUAUCACAGUAACCACAGCAGUGUUUGCUCAGUAUACUUUAUUUAUGGGCUGUUUCCGUUGGACCUUGCACUGAGUUACUAAGCAACUGAAACAGCCUCAUAAAUGUUACCAGAGGGAGAAAACAGUGCCUACAGUCACAGCCUCCAUAUUUGUAGUUCCUUGUUUGUAGGACGAUUUCUCCAAAACGUGUUGAUCAUACUUAUUGGAGUUGGCGCGAGCUUUUUUGUGUCACUUUGGGCAUCAUCAAGAUGUGAUGCCCACAUUGGCCAGGAGGUGUCGCUGUGAGAUGGAUUUGAGCCUCACUUUGUCCAUCAUUAAUGA
Long non-coding RNA from Oreochromis niloticus (Nile tilapia), 1131 nucleotides. RefSeq lists it as uncharacterized. The transcript is spliced from 2 exons. NCBI's taxonomy places the organism in Eukaryota, Metazoa, Chordata, Actinopteri, Cichliformes, Cichlidae. The record is from RefSeq and is a predicted model, not a curated record.